RNAcentral lists this ribosomal RNA (316 nucleotides) under Segatella copri. Its description in RNAcentral is "bacterial SSU rRNA". It matches the Rfam family "Bacterial small subunit ribosomal RNA", at positions 1 to 306 of the family's 1533-position model. Lineage: Bacteria; Pseudomonadati; Bacteroidota; Bacteroidia; Bacteroidales; Prevotellaceae. The record is from RNAcentral.
ACAAUGGAGAGUUUGAUCCUGGCUCAGGAUGAACGCUAGCUACAGGCUUAACACAUGCAAGUCGAGGGGAAACGACAUCGAAAGCUUGCUUUUGAUGGGCGUCGACCGGCGCACGGGUGAGUAACGCGUAUCCAACCUGCCCACCACUUGGGGAUAACCUUGCGAAAGUAAGACUAAUACCCAAUGACGUCUCUAGAAGACAUCUGAAAGAGAUUAAAGAUUUAUCGGUGAUGGAUGGGGAUGCGUCUGAUUAGCUUGUUGGCGGGGUAACGGCCCACCAAGGCGACGAUCAGUAGGGGUUCUGAGAGGAAGGUCC